UGCCAGCAGCCGCGGUAAUACGUAGGUGGCGAGCGUUAUUCGGAUUUAUUGGGCGUAAAGGGUCCGUAGGGGGUAUGUUAAGUUUGGUGUGAAAUACCGAGGCUCAACUUCGGAACUGCAUUAAAAACUGGCAUACUAGAGCAUAGGAGAGGAGAGUGGAAUUCCUGGUGUAGCGGUGGAAUGCGUAGAUAUCAGGAGGAACACCGAUGGCGAAGGCAGCUCUCUGGACUAUUGCUGACCCUGAGGGGCGAAAGCUAGGGGAGCAAACAGGAUUAGAUA
Molecule: ribosomal RNA, 279 nt
Filed under: uncultured bacterium
Lineage: Bacteria
Description: partial 16S ribosomal RNA
Rfam family: Bacterial small subunit ribosomal RNA
Source: RNAcentral